This 289-nucleotide ribosomal RNA is filed under the name Klebsiella pneumoniae. Its description in RNAcentral is "partial 16S ribosomal RNA". It matches the Rfam family "Bacterial small subunit ribosomal RNA", at positions 1 to 289 of the family's 1533-position model. Lineage: Bacteria; Pseudomonadati; Pseudomonadota; Gammaproteobacteria; Enterobacterales; Enterobacteriaceae. The record is from RNAcentral.
AAAUUGAAGAGUUUGAUCAUGGCUCAGAUUGAACGCUGGCGGCAGGCCUAACACAUGCAAGUCGAGCGGUAGCACAGAGAGCUUGCUCUCGGGUGACGAGCGGCGGACGGGUGAGUAAUGUCUGGGAAACUGCCUGAUGGAGGGGGAUAACUACUGGAAACGGUAGCUAAUACCGCAUAACGUCGCAAGACAAAGUGGGGGACCUUCGGGCCUCAUGCCAUCAGAUGUGCCCAGAUGGGAUUAGCUAGUAGGUGGGGUAACGGCUCACCUAGGCGACGAUCCCUAGCUG